RNAcentral lists this ribosomal RNA (442 nucleotides) under uncultured bacterium. RNAcentral's name for it is "SSU rRNA". It matches the Rfam family "Bacterial small subunit ribosomal RNA", at positions 26 to 518 of the family's 1533-position model. The record is from RNAcentral.
AGAACGAACGCUGGCGGCAGGCCUCAAACAUGCAAGUCUAGGGGGCGUAGCAAUACGUCACCGGCGGACGGGUGCGUAACACGUGGGAAUGUACUUAUUGGUUCGGAACAACUCAGGGAAACUUGAGCUAAUACCGAAUGUGCCCGAAAGGGGAAGAUUUAUCGCCAAUAAAUCAGCCCGCGUCCGAUUAGCUAGUUGGUGGGGUAAAGGCCCACCAAGGCGACGAUCGGUAGCUGUUCUGAGAGGAAGAUCAGCCACACUGGGACUGAGACACGGCCCAGACUCCUACGGGAGGCAGCAGUUGGGAAUCUUGGACAUGGGGAAACCUGAUCCAGCCAUGCCGCGUGAGUGAUGAAGGCCUUGGGUUGUAAAACUCUUUCGACGGGGACGAUAAUGACGGUACCCGUAGAAGAGCUCCGGCUAACUUCGCGCCAGCAGCCGC